AUUUUCCCACUGUACAGCAAGGGGGUCAGGUCAUCCUUAGAUGUAUACAUUGCAGUUACAGUUUUUUCCCCCACCCUUUCUUCUGUUGCGACAUGAGUAUCUAGACAUAGUUCUCAAUGCUAUUCAGCAGGAUCUCCUUGUAUAUCUAUUCUAGGUUGUGUCUGAUAUACUUCAAUAAAAUAAAUUUUUAAAAAGAUGUCUACUGAAAGGAAACACCUAAACACAAUACGCACUAUAUUUUUGGGGUUUUUUUUUUUUGCUUUUUUACGGCCACACGCAUGGCAUAUGGAGGUUCACAGGCUGGGGGUCUAACUGGAGCUAUAGCUGCCGGCCUACACCACAGCCACAGCAACUCGGGAUUUGAACUGAAUGCUCAACUUACACCAUAGCUCACGGCAAUGCCAGAUCCUUAACCCACUGAGCGAGGCCAAGGAUCCUCCACCCCAAGUCUUCAUGGAUACUAGUCAGGUUUGUUUCCUCUGCGCCACGCAGGAACUCCCACAAUACAUCAUAUGAAUCUCUGGAAUAAAACAUGGGAUAAAAUCUCUGAAAUAGAAUGGAGAGGAAUACAUCUACUCAAAGAAAAGUGGUCUUAAAAGACUGAAUGAUAGGUUACUUAUCUCUGUGCACUUAACAUUGGUAUAACAACAAGUGGAUCUAAUGAGACGAAGUGAUGUGUUUUUAUCCCUAUGAAUGAAGUGUUUAUGAACACAAAUGCCUGUAUCUGGAGUGUUACUAGAAUACAAGCAAUUGCACCUAUUAAAACGAAAAAUUCAGAGACAAAACUUAAUGAAACAUUUUUCCCCUAUGAAUGCAUUGCUGGCAGAUCAGAAAUAAGCAUCUGCUGAAACAAACUGCCAUAAGCAACACUGAAUGAUGUUUUGUAUCUCUAUGAACGGAGUUUUGAUAAACCAAAAUGAAUACAUCUACUUAAAUAAGAAUGGUUUACACAAAAUCUAAGUUUACUUGGGAAAACUAUGUUAAAAAAAAAAACUGAAUCAGUGAGUUCCCACUGUGGCUCAGAUGGUUAAGAACCUGACAUACUAUCUGUGAGGAUUGGGUUCGAUCUCCAGCCUAGCUCAAUGGCGUAAGGAUCUGAUGUUGCUGCAAGCUGUGGCACAGGCUGCAGAUGCAGCUUGGAUCUGGUGUUGCUGUGGUGUAGGCCAGCAGCUGCAGCUCUGAUUUGACCCCUAGUCUGGGAACUUCCAUAUGCAGCAAGUGUGGUCAUAAAAAAGAAAAACAAACUGAAUUAGGCAGUUCUCUUGUGGAGCAGCAGGUUAAGGAUCCAGUGCUGCCACAUCUGCGGCACAUGCCACAACUGCACAGGUUUGAUCCCUGGCCUAGGAACUUCCAUAUGCUGCAGGAGCAGCCAAAAAAAGAAAAAAAUUUUGAAUUAUAGGAGUUCCAUGAUGGCUCAGCAGGUUAAGGUCCAGUGUUGUCACUACUGUUACUCAGGCUGCUGUCACGGUGUGGGUUUAAUCCCUGUCCUGGGAACUUCCGCAUGCCCCAGGUAUGGCCAAAAAAUUGUUCUUAAUUGAAUUGUUAUGCAUCUCUAUGAAAAGAGUGUAGAAAAAUAUCUUCAAUGAAAGGAUAAAGCAAAACAUAAAAGUGCAUGCUAUUAUCUAUGGAUGGAGUGUUCCAAAACAAAAAAUUUAUCACUAUCUUAAAUGAAAGAAGUAAAUACAAAACUGACAGAUUUUUGGUUCCCUUAAAUACCCAUCCCUGGGUCCUGUUAGAAGCCAGACCCCCUGGCACAGCUCACCUCAGAGAUAAGAGUCAGUUAAGUGAUAAGCCCAGGGACUGCCUGGGUACAUUCACAGCACUCGAGCCCUCCGGGCAGUCAAAACACCACCCGUGGUGCUUUCUUGUAACAUGCCAUCAGGAAACCACCUACACACACAGGCGCCGUCACAUCCUGUCACAUGGCCCCUUCAGGGGAUCAAAUUGCCAGUUCAGAGAUCAUCUGGUCAAAGUCAUGUCUGUCUGGCUAGGAUCAAAGCACUGAACUAAAGCUCUCUCCAGGUCAGUCCCAUUCUGUAAGUGCAACCUCCCAUCCACUAUCCCACAUCCUGCAUCCCUGCCCCUCAUCAACACGAACUCGCCCUACCCAGAGGACUAUAUGUUCCAUGAAAUCAGUCAGACACAGAAAGGCAAAUACUGCUAACGAUCUACUUGAUAUGGAAUCUAGAAAAAUUAAAUUCAGAAUUCCCUGGCAGCUUACUGGUUAAGGAUUCAUCAUUGUCACUGCUGUGACUCAGGUUUGAUCCCUGGCCUGGGGAACUUUUGCAUACCAUGGGGAUGGCCAAAAAAACCCCAAAAAGUUAAAUUCACAGAAACAGAGAGUAGGGUGGUGGUUGAGGGAAAUGGGGAGAUGUUGGUCAAAGGGCCCAAACUCAGUUACAGGAUGUGAAGACCUAACAUACAGCCUGGUGAGACUGUCAUUAACAAUAAUGUAUUAUAUCCCUGAAAUCUGCUAAGACAGUGGGUCUCAAAUGUUCUCAUCAGACACACACAAUGGUAACCAUGUGAGGUUGAUAGGGAUAGAGCAGGAUAAUUAAAUAGUUGAGAAAUCCCAAUAGGGGAUUAAAGAUAGAAAGGGAAUUUUAAGAAUUUGGGAGACCUUUGUAAGCUAAUGACCACUCAAGAAAAGAAUCCAGUAACCUAGCAACAAUCUGCACUACCUUAAAGGAGGAUCAGAUGCAUUCGAGUGCCAGGCACACCCAAGCCCACACAUCCCGAUAGUUAAAGCACAAGACAAUAGAUGUGGGGUCUGCAUCUUCUUAUGCAAAGUCAGGGAGUUAGCGGUCCUCGAAGAGCAGCAUUUCUGCAUGUAGCCAAGAUAGGAAUACAGGGGAAAGGGGAAAGAAACUCCAUGGUAGGGGACCUUACAGAGAAACUUGAGGUGAAUUACCUUAUUUUAGUGUACCACACUUGGCGUACAUGCGAUUUAAUAGCUAUGAUGGUCCUGGUUAGGCCAUAUAGGGUUAAAGAAGGAACUGAUGAGGUAAGUCUUAAUAUCUACCCAAGAAUGCUCACUCGCCAUUGUUCCUUUGAUUGUAAAAAUGUAGCCCUCUUUGAUCUCGGGGGGCGGGGGGGGGAACCUGUGGUUCUCACAAGCAUCCGAUGCUAAUAAGCCUACUCUGCCUGCCACGUUGCCUCAUGCUGAAUUCUUUCCACACUGAAACUAGAGAACCUGAGCUUCAGUAAGUCCAGCCACCAGGUGAGUGGUUUCACUUAAAAGACAGGGGUUUGAGUUCCCUCCUUAGUCAGGGAUCUUGGGUUCAAGUCCCAAUCUGAGGGGUGGCUGAGGUCGAGUCCUAUCUGAGAAGGACUUCAGUGAUGGCCAUGUUAAUCAGCUUCACUGCGGUAAACAUUUCACAAUAUAUACAAUAUACAUCAAAAUAUCACAUGGUGCACCUUACAAAUACAAAUAUAUAUAGUUUGUAUUUGUCAUACGUAUACCUCUAUAAAGCUGGGGCACGGACAAAGAAAUACAAUGCUGAUGUGCCCCGACCCUUUCCAGACAACCUGCUCUCCUAUCCUGUUCCUGGCACCACGCUCUCUACUCUUCCUGCUGAAAUGUGCAAAUCUCACAUAAAGUCCAACAGCUGACUCUUCUCUCAAUCUCACCCGAUUCUCAGUGCUAUUCUUAGCUAACUAAGCGUUAGGAAUACAGCAUGCAUGAACCCUGCCCAGAGGGGCCUGCGUUUUUUAAAAGGUACUUUUUAACCCAAAUAAAUCUUUAAUUCAAGGGUGAGUUGUGUUUUUGAGUGUUUCUGUUUGCAUGACAGUCCUCACAGAGGACAGCAAUACUAGGACUCCCUUCUAUGAAGUGGCCUAAAGGAGCUUCCUGGAGUUUCCAGUGUGGUUCAACGGGUUAUGAACCUGACUAGUAUCCAGGAGGACACAGGUUUGAUCCCUGGUCUGCUCAGUGGGUUAAGGAUCCGAUACUGCUGUGGCUGUGCUGUAGGCUGGCAGCUGCAGCUCUGAUUCAGCCCUUAGCCUGUAAAAAGAAAAGAAAAAAAUUUAAAAAAGGAAUGGCUUCCUUUUUGCUUCCCUAGCUUCCUCACUGAAUCCCCAGACACUAUUAUGGGUCGAUUUAUCUUGGGAAGUUUAUUAAAAACACAGAAUUGGAGUUCCCAUUGUGGCGCAGCAGAAACAAAUCCAACUAGGAACUAUGAGGUUACAGGUUCGAUCCCCUGGCCUCAGUCAGUGGGGUAAGGAUCCAGCAUUGCUGUGAGCUGUGGUGUAGGUCACAGACGUGGCUCGGAUCUGGUGUUGCUGUGGCUGUGGUGUAGGUUGGCAGCUGCAGCUCCAAUGAGACCCCUAGCCUGGAAACUUCCAUAUGCCGCAGGGCCUUUGCACUUGCUGUUCUCUCUGCCUGGCACACUUGUUCCCACAGCUCCCUCCCUCACCCUCUGUGGGCUUUGCUCAAUGACACCCUCUCGGGGAGAUCUUCUCAAGUUCUGCACCCAAUUCCAGUGGGUGCAGUGUUCCCCACCACCAAGCAACUCCCCAGACACCAGCUGGGUGCUCUACAAUUUGACUGACAACUAACCCUAUUGCUACCAAGCCAGGUUCAAUUUCCCCAUGUGCAGCCAGCCAACUGCUAAGAUGCUGAGGUUUGCAGCAGAGAAAGACUUUACUCACAAGGCAGCCAAGUGAGGAGCCGGCAGAACACGCCUCAGACCUGCCUCCUUAAAGGCGAGGUGUUUGGGUGUAUAUGGGAUAAAGACGCAGGGUGGCCUUAGCCAUGGGGAAGGGUGACGGGACACAGGGGGAAAAGGUGAGGUAAUCAGUGUCCCGAAAAGGCCUAUGAGUCACGUGUUUCUUCCUGAGACACGUGUUCAAAAGUGGAGGCAUUAGCAUGAUCUGAGGGUGGAGUUUGCAGUCCUCUGAUAUCAAAAAGUCAUUCAUCCAACACCUGCCCACGCCCAGUUUUAGGCUCGGUGGUCCCAACCAGUCUCAUCGAAAAUGAGCAGAGCCCUGUAGGGCCACCCCACUCGCAGGCCCCUUCAUGUGUUCUCACCUCCCAGCUUAAAAAAAAAAAAAAAAAUUCAAACUUUUAGUUUCCCUGGCCUCUCAAGUUUCAGAAAACAGACUCAAGCAAUUAAUCAUUUAAGAAGAGGCAAAAGCAGGAACUAAGAAAAGGCAGCUGAGCAAGGAAGGAGACAACAACUUAAGCAAUAAGUAAAACUCAAGCAUCAGGGUCAUAAGGCCCCAGUUCUCCUCGAGAAAAACAGAUAACAAGGUCUGACGCAUAUUCUUAAGUGUUUCUUACAGAAAUCAGACUCCUACAAGGGGGAAACUGCUGACCCUAAACCUGUAGACCACUGACUAGUUGGAGCUGGAAAACUGAUGAGAGAUUCCUGACAUACCACUACCCUCUACCAAUCAGAAAACCGUCCGUGAGGAGCUCCCUGGUAGUCUGUUGGUCAGGGCUUAGCACUUUCACUGCUU
This 5460-nucleotide long non-coding RNA is filed under the name Sus scrofa (pig). RNAcentral's name for it is "lncRNA (ENSSSCG00065063185.1)". Lineage: Eukaryota; Metazoa; Chordata; Mammalia; Artiodactyla; Suidae. The record is from RNAcentral.